RNAcentral lists this ribosomal RNA (527 nucleotides) under uncultured bacterium. Its description in RNAcentral is "bacterial SSU rRNA". It matches the Rfam family "Bacterial small subunit ribosomal RNA", at positions 777 to 1304 of the family's 1533-position model. The record is from RNAcentral.
AAUAGAUACCCCGGUAGUCCACGCCGUAAACGAUGAGUGCUAAGUGUUAGGGGGUUUCCGCCCCUUAGUGCUGCAGCUAACGCAUUAAGCACUCCGCCUGGGGAGUACGGUCGCAAGACUGAAACUCAAAGGAAUUGACGGGGGCCCGCACAAGCGGUGGAGCAUGUGGUUUAAUUCGAAGCAACGCGAAGAACCUUACCAGGUCUUGACAUCUUCUGACAAUCCUAGAGAUAGGACGUCCCCUUCGGGGGCAGAGUGACAGGUGGUGCAUGGUUGUCGUCAGCUCGUGUCGUGAGAUGUUGGGUUAAGUCCCGCAACGAGCGCAACCCUUGAUCUUAGUUGCCAGCAUUCAGUUGGGCACUCUAAGGUGACUGCCGGUGACAAACCGGAGGAAGGUGGGGAUGACGUCAAAUCAUCAUGCCCCUUAUGACCUGGGCUACACACGUGCUACAAUGGACAGAACAAAGGGCAGCGAAACCGCGAGGUUAAGCCAAUCCCACAAAUCUGUUCUCAGUUCGGAUCGCAGU